RNAcentral lists this ribosomal RNA (838 nucleotides) under uncultured bacterium. RNAcentral describes it as "bacterial SSU rRNA". It matches the Rfam family "Bacterial small subunit ribosomal RNA", at positions 1 to 823 of the family's 1533-position model. The record is from RNAcentral.
CGAUUGAGUUUGAUCCUGGCUCAGGAUGAACGCUGGCGGCGUGCCUAAUACAUGCAAGUCGAGCGCGAGCGUUAGAAGCUUGCUUCUAACAAUCGAGCGGCGGACGGGUGAGUAACACGUGGGCAACCUACCUUUGAGAUUGGGAUAACUACCGGAAACGGUAGCUAAUACCGGACAGGACAUGAUUACAUAAGUAGUGAUGUUAAAAGGCGGAUUUAUCUGCCGUUCAAAGAUGGGCCUGCGGUGCAUUAGCUAGUUGGUGAGAUAGUAGCUCACCAAGGCGACGAUGCAUAGCCGACCUGAGAGGGUGAUCGGCCACACUGGGACUGAGACACGGCCCAGACUCCUACGGGAGGCAGCAGUAGGGAAUCUUCCGCAAUGGACGCAAGUCUGACGGAGCAACGCCGCGUGAGUGAAGAAGGGUUUCGGCUCGUAAAACUCUGUUGUUAAGGAAGAACACUUGAGGUAGUAACUGGCCUCAAGCUGACGGUACUUAACCAGAAAGCCACGGCUAACUACGUGCCAGCAGCCGCGGUAAUACGUAGGUGGCAAGCGUUAUCCGGAAUUAUUGGGCGUAAAGCGCGCGUAGGCGGUAGAAUAAGUCUGAUGUGAAAGCCCCUGGCUCAACCAGGGAGGGUCAUUGGAAACUGUUUUACUUGAGUACAGAAGAGGAGAGUGGAAUUCCAUGUGUAGCGGUGAAAUGCGCAGAGAUAUGGAGGAACACCAGUGGCGAAGGCGGCUCUCUGGUCUGUGACUGACGCUGAGGUGCGAAAGCGUGGGGAUCAAACAGGAUUAGAUACCCUGAUAGUCCACGCCGUAAACGAUGAGUGCUAAGUGU